UGAGGAAUUUUCGGCAAUGGGGGGAACCCUGACCGAGCAAUACUACGUGAAGGAAGAAGGUCUAAGGAUUGUAAACUUCUGUUAGUGCGGAAGAAGGACUAAACGCAAGUUUAGUUUUGACGGUACGCGCAGAGAAAGCAACGACUAACUAUGUGCCAGCAGUCGCGGUAAGACAUAGGUUGCGAACGUUAUCCGGAAUUAUUGGGCGUAAAGGAUGCGUAGAUGGUGUGAUAAGUUAUCAGUGGUAAAUCAGGGCUUAACCUUGUGGAAGCUGGUAAUACUGUCAUGCUUGAGUUCAGGAAAAGUUAACGGAACUCUAUGUGGAGCGGUAAAAUGUGACGAUAUAUAGAAGAACACCAAUGGCGAAAGCAGUUAACUAUUCUGUUACUGACAUUGAGGCAUGAAAGCGUGGGGAGCGAAACGG
This 424-nucleotide ribosomal RNA is filed under the name uncultured bacterium. RNAcentral's name for it is "bacterial SSU rRNA". It matches the Rfam family "Bacterial small subunit ribosomal RNA", at positions 355 to 776 of the family's 1533-position model. The record is from RNAcentral.